GAUGAACGCUGGCGGCGUGCUUAACACAUGCAAGUCGAACGAUGAAGCCCAGCUUUCUUGGUGUAUUAGUGUCGAACGGGUGAGUAACACGUGAGUAACCUGCCCUUCACUCUGUGAUAAGCCCGGUGAACUGGGUCUCUUACACUAUAUGAGCGCCGGUUGCAUGACGGGUGUUUGUAAGAUGUUUCGGUCAUGGAUGGACUCGCGGCCUAUCAGCUUGUUGGUGAGGUAAUGGCUCACCAAGGCGACGACGGGUAGCCGGCCUGAGAGGGCGACCGGCCACACUGGGACUGAGACACGGCCCAGACUCCUACGGGAGGCAGCAGUGGGGAAUAUUGCACAAUGGGCGGAAGCCUGAUGCAGCGACGCCGCGUGAGGGAUGACGGCCUUCGGGUUGUAAACCUCUUUCAGCAGGGAAGAAGCGAAAGUGACGGUACCUGCAGAAGAAGCACCGGCUAACUACGUG
Molecule: ribosomal RNA, 466 nt
Filed under: uncultured bacterium
Lineage: Bacteria
Description: partial 16S ribosomal RNA
Rfam family: Bacterial small subunit ribosomal RNA
Source: RNAcentral